CACACAAGAACCUUAGUAAGUACAUUUUUCUGGAUAAUAAAAAAAUACAAUGCGGUUUUAUUAAAUCUGUGGCGUCAAAACCAAAGCUUUAUAUAUGCUCUUACAUAUAUCAUUAUGUAACUCAGUCUUUAAAUUUCUGAUUUUCUUUGGCAAGCAAUAUGAACAUCCACAUUUAGAUGUCACGGUGCUUCAAAGGCAUAAAGAUAAACAGGUAACUUAUUAACUCAAACAGUGAAAUAUGAAUUUUAAGCACAGGAUUAAGCAGCUCAGAGGAAGAGAGAAAUCACAGGGAUUCAGGAAGAGGACUCUACCAUUUCCUUCUUUGGCCAUUCUUCUUGGACAGACAUUGCUUUCAAUCAUUUAUGUAGGUAAAGUCACUCUAAAUGUGUAAACCAGACCUGUAUGUAAAUAAGUCAUUGCUUACUGAUCCUUCCAGACUCAGCUCCAGCUUCUCCUCCUGGAACCCCUCUCUGCUGAGUACCCCGCCGUGCUCCCACGGCUCUCUACUGCCCAUCACACCACGAGGCAAGUGCAAGCUGCUCCCCUCAUUUGUCUGAUCCACAGGCUCAUUAACACUUUGGACGGACAUGGUCAUCCCCUACUGGCAGUGCAAUCAAUGAGAUGUGAGCAUAACUCAUUGGAGAGGAACUCAAAAUGACUGUACUAUUUUAAAAAGUUGAAAAGCACAAAUAUUUGAUGGUAAGAGUGAAAGGAUUUUCACCUAAAAUCAAUUCCUCAAACUACACAGAUGUUAUGCAGUUAACCUUGCCAUAGAAAUGAAGUUUGUAAAAGAGACGAGAAUAAAUGCAGGAACUUGUCCCAGAGCUCUGAACCCAAACACUUCCUGUGCUGCCUCCAAGAGCACUCCAUCGGAGACAGCACUGCCUUUGCAGCUACCCGUCCUGGAUCUGAAUCCCAGCUCCAUGUUACCUGGAUGGCUUUGUCUAAGGCAUAAACUUGCUGCACCCCACUUUCUGAAUAAUGACAGUAGUGUUAACAAUGAAAGCAGCUAACAUUCAUUAAGGAGUGUGAACUUAUUUAAACGAAUUAAUACACUGAAUUAAUUUGAUUUAAUACACAAUAACCUGUAAAGGGAUACAUGUUACAGAUGAGGAAAGUGAGGCUCAGACACACACACCAGGAAGCCAAGAGCCACAGAUGCAAUGAGACAUAUCUGAGAGCACAGGUGGACCUCCCCCACUGCAGCGCCACAACACAGCACACAGAAAGGUCUGGGAGCAAGAGAGAUGAGCGUUCAGGUAAGCUGAGACAACAGCAUCUGAUUUACAGGACUGGCACGGAGCUACAGGGUCAGAAAGGGUUAUGCUGCAGCUCAGCUUUCUGUCUCUAAUGAAGCCAACUGGCUCAAACUCCUCUCUUCAUUCCUACCAAGGACUGCAUCUUGGAUCUUAACUCAGCAUCUGGUGGUUUUAACUUUUUCUCUUUAUUUUUAAUAAAAAACUAGAUGUAAAGGAAAGAUCGUAGGUAAUGAGGUGAACUCUGUGAAUGCGGCACUGCCCAGAACACAAAACCACUCUAGGCCACGCGUGCUCCCUUCUACCCCACGACACCGACCGCAGAGGCAGGUCUUGUACAUCUGGGAUUCUGGUCUGUCAUUCCCUUUCAUUCUUUUUUAAAAGUAGUAUGGUUAUAAAUACAUGUAUCCGAAAAAAAUCUGCAGUUAGUUUUGGUAACUUCUUAGUUUCAUAAAAAUUGCUUUCUGUGAUGGUUAGUUCUGUGUGUCAGCUUGACUGGGGAAGCCUGGACAGCUGGUGAAACAUGGUUUCUGGGUGUGUCUGGAAGAGGUUAGCAUCUGAGUCAGUAGGCUGAGUUAAAGAUCCCUCCUCAUCAGGGUGGCCCAACAUCACUGAAUCCCUGGUGUGGCCGAGGAAGGGAGAUUUCUCUCCUCUUGAGCUGGGACAUCCCUCUUUUUCUGCCCUCAGAUUGGAGUUCCUGGUUCUUGGGCCUUCAACUCCAGGGCUUACACCAUUGGCUCCACGGUUCUCAGGCCUCUGGACUCGGACACCACCAGCUUUCCUGGGUCUCCAGCUUGCACAUGGCAGACUGUGGGAGUAUGCUAACCCUCCAUAAUUACGAUAAUCAAUUAUCCUCACACCAUCUACGAAGAGUUCAUCCUCCCCAUGGAUCUGUGUUGCCACUUGUCAUCUACCCAGUUUUUAGAUCUGAGAGAGUCUGAUUAUGAGGUCUCUGCUCUGUUGAGUAGCUCAGCUACCUUCUCUGUGCCAGAGGACUGUCUAUUAGUCUUUUCAGUGAAGCAACUUCUGGCCUUAAUGAUGCUCUCUAUUGUUGGGGGAGGUCACUGACUGAGAGCAUGAGACUGCUGGCUUCCCCAGAGCUGGACCUGGGCAACGGGAGGCCCCUGCCCUAUCCUUGGAAUGCAUGUUCUGCUCAACGUUUCCAUGGUAGAAACCACUUCAAGGACACAGCCUUGAGAGCGUAAGGUGUUGCUGAGACCAUCUGGACUGAUUCGUGACUGAACUACAUUCAGGCAUUCGGGUGGGUGGGUGUGGGGAUCUACUCGUCCGGCACUGCCCAAGACAAGCCUCCUAUGUAAGUUCCCUUGCUGAUUAAACCUGCCACCCCCCAUCUGGAGUGGCCUGCCUCUUUCGUCAGGCUCUCCCUGCCCUCUGUGUCCGGGGGCCAGUUUCAGGUUUCACCUGGGCAACGCCCGUGGUUGGAACUCAACAAGUGGCGAGCUGGCCAGGAGACUGAAGAGAUGGGUCUUGGGAUAGAGGCAUCUGGGGGGGAAAUCUCGUGUUGACUAUUGACCUCUCUUUGGGGAGGGGUAGACUGUAUGUCAGAUGCUUGUGGAGCGCCACCUGACUACAGGGACACUCCGAAAAUGCUGGCUGUUUUAAUGCCUUUGCUUAAGAAACUGCGGAUGGCACACUGCAACAAAAAAGAGAAAGGAAUGGCAGCUACAGAAGGCUGGCCUCUAUUGUGGGCAGUUCAGCGGCCACCGAUGCCCAACUGGCAUCUGAAGCUCGUACAAAGUUGGAAGAACAGCUGAGGAUAGAGAAAGAUGUACGGUAUCCACUACUCUGCUAGCACUGGGGCUGGCAGACAAAGUGAGAGAGCAGGGUAAGUCGGAGACCUCAGUGUGCCAUUGUGCAAAGCUGGGAGGAUGCAAGCUGCCUUAGAUUAAGGUCCAAGUGCUUGUGACAAAGCCGACUGAGAUACUAAGAGGCAGAAUCGCUGGGAAAGUGAUGAGUGAGGAGGAUGUUGUGGUGACUGACAGUGCAACGGAAGAAACACCCCAUGCCCUCCAACCCCUAAUACAAAGGAGAACAAAGCACAGCAACAACAACCCCAGGCAUCAGGGCAGCCCCCAGUGCAGGAAACUUUCAUGAUGAGAGAAUACACGCCGGCUGAGCUUACUGAUAUAGCUGCCAAGUUCCAGCAAAAGGCCAGGGCAAGUAUCCAGGCACGGUUGGUAUAGCCAUGGGAGACGGGGGGAGGUGAUGGUACUUCUCUGACCCGGCAGGAGGCAGAGAAGAGGAGCAACAUCCCCACAGCCCGCCCACCAGCAGUGCCUGCAUGGUGUGCAGUUCAAGGCACUCACUCCCUUACAGACUGGAUUAUUCCUGCCUGCAGGGAGGCGUGGCCCACUGAGGGGGAUGCCCUGGGCACCUGGAAACCUAUGCAGGAGGUACAAGAAAUCCUUAGGGAGCUGGGAAUGAGACAGGCCAUCUACUCCCUGUCUUUGAAGGCCCUGAUCAGGUCAAAUUCACUGUAGGAAUGAAAGCCAAGACACUCCAGUCCACCCCAAGCACCUGGUAUGGGACACUGAUAUCCAUGGUGAGCCCAGCUGGAUAAGAUAUUUAUGAUGUUGGGCAAUCCAUUGCUGAUCUGAGAGAAACUGACAAAUCCUCGGCUGUGGGAAAUACCUGAGACAGAGAGGGAGCUCAAAAAGCCAAAGGUCCAUCGCAGUCAGUUAUAAAGCAUCCAGUAAAAGCAACCUGAACAGACAGAUGGACAACCCAAUGCUGUGUUGUUGGUCAGCCUGUGGAAAGCCUUACAAUCUGAACAACAGUUCAGACCUGCCCCACCUGCCCCACCAUGCCCGAUGCUCCGCCUGCUCAAGCGGAGGCCUCACAGGUACAGUCCUGUUCAGGGUGCGUGCCUCCCACACCCCCGGUAUAGGAUGCAGGCUAAGAUCGCCUUCAGGUGAGGGCUGUUGCGGGUAACUGGAGGCCUCGUGUUGAGCUCACUACUCACUGUCACCCAGAAAUAAACAAGACGUGAUGGCUCUGGUGGACACUGGAGCAGAAUGUACUCCAAUCCAUGGUCACCCUCAGAAGUGUUCUGGCCCCUCCGUGCCACCGAUGGGUAUGGGAGGCAAACGGUUAUGGUCAGGAAGGUCCCUUUGACACGGCAAAUUGGGCAUUUUCCCCCACAAGAACACAAGGUUUUUCUCUCUCCAAUACCAAAGAACGUACUGGACAAUGAUAACCUGUAAGGUCAAACUCUGCAAACUUCUAUCACUGAAUUCUGCCUCCAGGGUAGAGUAACUAAACCAGUACUGAGGGGAAACCCCAACUGGGAACCAGUAAGUCUCUAGACCCUGCAAAGAGUGAUAACUGUCAACAAUAUAAAUUGCCUGGGGGCUGGCCCCGUGGCCGAGUGGUUAAGUUCGUGCGCUCUGCUGCAGGUGGCCCAGUGUUUCGUUGGUU
Equus quagga is the source of this 4694-nucleotide long non-coding RNA. RefSeq lists it as uncharacterized. The transcript has 3 exons. The record is from RefSeq and is a predicted model, not a curated record. NCBI's taxonomy places the organism in Eukaryota, Metazoa, Chordata, Mammalia, Perissodactyla, Equidae.